CUCACCACAACCAGACUCUGAUGAAUGAUACUUUGAAAAGGCUUGAACAACAUCCAGCCUUCUGCAAAAGACCACUGAGGAUUUACUGUGACUUAGUCAUGAAGAAAAGGGUCACUAUCUUUCUCUCCAUGCUGGCUGCAGGGGCAUGUCACGUCAUGCUGUGUUGCGCUGGAGUUGUCUAGUCCUGAAAGGGGGGCGAGGAAGACAGGCGUGACGGAGUGUGACUGAGCUGAGAGUCGACCUGCGUGUUGAACGGGCCACCGGGAAUGGUGGGAGUCAGGACCUGAAGACCUCAUAGAAUUUUUUGACCAACCUACUCUAGCUGGUUCCCAGGCUGCCCACUUACCCUGUUCUGCAAACAAACAGAUGGAGACAUUAAAACCAGCACCUGCCAACACUGCUCAGAAAAAAGAGGUCAGCCAGUGCCGGUUGUCGGCUUCUCGCCUCCCGUUCAGAGCCAUGAAGGAGCCGAAGAAGGUGAUCGUGUAGAAGUAGCAGAACACGAUGGAGACGCUGGUGUACACGCAGAACGACUGCACCGCCGGGAAGUCGGACGUGACGCCAAUGGAGAACUUGACCAGGUCAGUCAAGGCGGUGAUGGUGAUGGACAUGACGGCUUCUUUGUAAGAGUGAGCCAUCCGAUGAGGCACUGAGUCUUUCACUUUGGUGUGCUGCCAGUCAGACACCAGUAUGAACAUGUUGUUGAGUCCAAUUCCUGAAAAUGAACGCAGGCUAUGUCAAAUCAUCCACUGCAGUUAAAACACACACUUUUUUAUAUCAAUGCAGUUUAUUACUUCAACAUUUUAAAAUCUUCAGCACAGGAACAAAAGGUUCUUUUUCUCACCAAGGAUCAGGAAAGGAGAAUUUGCAACUGUAAUAACAAACGGCACUCCAAUGUAAAGCAGCAAGCCAAAAGAGGACAUAAUCGCCAGACCAGAGGAGAAGACGCCAAAGACAGCCACCCACACCUUGUUCCUCACAUUGUCCAAUCUGUAAAGGAGAUAAAAACAAGAGUCGUUAUUCAAAUUAUGUAACUAAUAAGUUAAAAGAUAUACUGUGAGCAAAGAGGAUUAUCUCUGAUUUAAUCUUGAAUAGUUUUACUUUUGGAUUCACACAUCAUUUAUGGCAACAUUUUAGAGGUGUUUUCCAAAUUUUUAGAAGUACAAAAUAUAUGUUUUGUCCAUAUUCUGUAUAGAAAGAUGGAUGGCACAACCACUCCUCUAUUAGCAGGUACAAGGUGGGACAGGGGAGAGGAGAUGUAAUAAACACUAACACAAGAGUCAUUUAACUUUCCAUAAAUGUAAGUGUCUGCUUCAAACCAAAACAAAGAAUCUGUUCUCAGUA
Molecule: long non-coding RNA, 1344 nt
Organism: Notolabrus celidotus (New Zealand spotty)
Lineage: Eukaryota; Metazoa; Chordata; Actinopteri; Labriformes; Labridae
Exons: 3
Source: RefSeq, a predicted model, not a curated record